RNAcentral lists this ribosomal RNA (345 nucleotides) under Triticum aestivum (bread wheat). Its description in RNAcentral is "partial small subunit ribosomal RNA". Lineage: Eukaryota; Viridiplantae; Streptophyta; Magnoliopsida; Poales; Poaceae. The record is from RNAcentral.
AUGCUGCUGCCCCGCUGCCUUUUUUUUAUCGUUGUCAAGGUCACCGAAUCCAGGGACGCAAGGCCGCCUCCAGACGGCCGGAGACCUCGGACACGCCAAGUACCCCUUCGUUUCGACGAGACCAGCAAGUUCGAAGAACGCCAAGUUCGACGACGCUCUCCGCCCGAACGACUACCGCCGAUUCGUACCUCUCCAUUGUCGUGGGUUUCGUCAAGUUCAACGGUGAACCCCGAAGCCCUCGGAUUCGUCAAGUCCGAAGAUGCAAGUACCACUCUGAACCAUGUACGACGACCGUCGCCGAAGACCAGUGUACCGCGAACGUCAAGUUCGACUAGCGUCGCGUGA